GGGGCUGGAUUGGAAUUGACAACAAGAUUAAUAUAUAAGUAAGCAUAUCGUGAAAAGUAAUGUAAUCACGUAAAUAUCAUUACAAAUGAUAACCGGCAAAAAAAAUUAUGCUCUUGCUGCUUGAGAAAGCAAGAUUUUUUGAUAAAUUUAAUUUUUAAUUUGAAAGAUUGAGGUUCUAAAUCUUUCUUGAAUUGUUUAGAACUUUCUUAUAAGAAAGAGUUUCUUAUCACUAAUCUUAUGUGAAAUUUUAUCUUUGAUAAGAUAAAUAUGUAGAAAACUUAUAAUAUUACUUGUUUGGACACGGGUUCGAAUCCCGUCAGCUCCAC
Molecule: transfer-messenger RNA, 326 nt
Filed under: Candidatus Karelsulcia muelleri SMDSEM
Lineage: Bacteria; Pseudomonadati; Bacteroidota; Flavobacteriia; Flavobacteriales
Description: Candidatus Sulcia muelleri SMDSEM tmRNA (10Sa RNA)
Rfam family: transfer-messenger RNA
About the family: Bacterial tmRNA, also known as 10Sa RNA or SsrA, is named for its dual tRNA and mRNA-like properties.
Source: RNAcentral